This 234-nucleotide ribosomal RNA is filed under the name uncultured bacterium. RNAcentral describes it as "partial 16S ribosomal RNA". It matches the Rfam family "Bacterial small subunit ribosomal RNA", at positions 97 to 334 of the family's 1533-position model. The record is from RNAcentral.
GGCGGACGGGUGAGUAAUGUCUGGGAAACUGCCUGAUGGAGGGGGAUAACUACUGGAAACGGUAGCUAAUACCGCAUAACGUCGCAAGACCAAAGAGGGGGACCUUAGGGCCUCUUGCCAUCGGAUGUGCCCAGAUGGGAUUAGCUAGUAGGUGGGGUAAAGGCUCACCUAGGCGACGAUCCCUAGCUGGUCUGAGAGGAUGACCAGCCACACUGGAACUGAGACACGGUCCAG